CUCACUAGUCGAGUCGGCCUGCGCGGAAGAUGUAACGGGGCUCAAACCACACACCGAAGCUGCGGGUGUCACGUAAGUGACGCGGUAGAGGAGCGUUCUGUAAGCCUGUGAAGGUGAGUUGAGAAGCUUGCUGGAGGUAUCAGAAGUGCGAAUGCUGACAUGAGUAACGACAAUGGGUGUGAAAAACACCCACGCCGAAAGACCAAGGGUUCCUGCGCAACGUUAAUCGACGCAGGGUUAGUCGGUUCCUAAGGCGAGGCUGAAAAGCGUAGUCGAUGGGAAACAGGUUAAUAUUCCUGUACUUCUGGUUACUGCGAUGGAGGGACGGAGAAGGCUAGGCCAGCUUGGCGUUGGUUGUCCAAGUUUAAGGUGGUAGGCUGAAAUCUUAGGUAAAUCCGGGGUUUCAAGGCCGAGAGCUGAUGACGAGUCGUCUUUUAGAUGACGAAGUGGUUGAUGCCAUGCUUCCAAGAAAAGCUUCUAAGCUUCAGGUAACCAGGAACCGUACCCCAAACCGACACAGGUGGUCGGGUAGAGAAUACCAAGGCGCUUGAGAGAACUCGGGUGAAGGAACUAGGCAAAAUGGCACCGUAACUUCGGGAGAAGGUGCGCCGGCUAGGGUGAAGGAUUUACUCCGUAAGCUCUGGCUGGUCGAAGAUACCAGGCCGCUGCGACUGUUUAUUAAAAACACAGCACUCUGCAAACACGAAAGUGGACGUAUAGGGUGUGACGCCUGCCCGGUGCCGGAAGGUUAAUUGAUGGGGUUAGCGCAAGCGAAGCUCUUGAUCGAAGCCCCGGUAAACGGCGGCCGUAACUAUAACGGUCCUAAGGUAGCGAAAUUCCUUGUCGGGUAAGUUCCGACCUGCACGAAUGGCGUAACGAUGGCGGCGCUGUCUCCACCCGAGACUCAGUGAAAUUGAAAUCGCUGUGAAGAUGCAGUGUAUCCGCGGCUAGACGGAAAGACCCCGUGAACCUUUACUGUAGCUUUGCACUGGACUUUGAGCCUGCUUGUGUAGGAUAGGUGGGAGGCUUUGAAGCGUGGACGCCAGUUCGC
RNAcentral lists this ribosomal RNA (1051 nucleotides) under Pseudomonas aeruginosa. Its description in RNAcentral is "partial 23S ribosomal RNA". It matches the Rfam family "Bacterial large subunit ribosomal RNA", at positions 1141 to 2179 of the family's 2925-position model. The record is from RNAcentral. Lineage: Bacteria; Pseudomonadati; Pseudomonadota; Gammaproteobacteria; Pseudomonadales; Pseudomonadaceae.